UACGGGGGAUGCGAGCGUUAUCCGGAUUUAUUGGGUUUAAAGGGAGCGUAGACGGCCGUUUAAGUCAGCUGUGAAAUGGUGCGGCUCAACCGUAGCACUGCAGUUGAAACUGGACGGCUUGAGUGCAGUUGAGGCAGGCGGAAUUCGUGGUGUAGCGGUGAAAUGCUUAGAUAUCACGAAGAACCCCGAUUGCGAAGGCAGCCUGCUAAGCUGCAACUGACGUUGAGGCUCGAAAGUGUGGGUAUCAAACAGG
RNAcentral lists this ribosomal RNA (253 nucleotides) under uncultured bacterium. RNAcentral describes it as "partial 16S ribosomal RNA". It matches the Rfam family "Bacterial small subunit ribosomal RNA", at positions 524 to 776 of the family's 1533-position model. The record is from RNAcentral.